AGCAGCCGCGGUAAUUCCAGCUCCAAUAGCGUAUAUUAAAGUUGUUGCAGUUAAAAAGCUCGUAGUUGAAUUUCGGGACCAUCAUGUUGGUCGUGCCUCGGUACGUACUGGCAUUGUUGGUUUCUCCCUUCUGACGAACCAUGAUGUCAUUUAUUUGGUGUCGUGGGGAAUCAGGACUGUUACUUUGAAAAAUUAGAGUGUUUAAAGCAGGCUCACGCUUGAAUACAUUAGCAUGGAAUAAUGAAAUAGGACGUUUGAUUCUAUUUUGUUGGUUUCUAGGAUCGACGUAAUGAUUAAUAGGGAUAGUUGGGGGCAUUAGUAUUCAAUUGUCAGAGGUGAAAUUCUUGGAUUUAUUGAAGACUAACUACUGCGAAAGCAUUUGCCAAGGAUGUUUUCAUUAAUCAAGAACGAAAGUUAGGGGAUCGAAGACGAUCAGAUACCGUCGUAGUCUUAACCAUAAACUAAUGCCGACUAGGGAUCGGAU
Molecule: ribosomal RNA, 484 nt
Filed under: uncultured Glomus
Lineage: Eukaryota; Fungi; Glomeromycota; Glomeromycetes; Glomerales; Glomeraceae
Description: SSU rRNA
Rfam family: Eukaryotic small subunit ribosomal RNA
Source: RNAcentral